RNAcentral lists this ribosomal RNA (1289 nucleotides) under Staphylococcus sp. RNAcentral describes it as "bacterial SSU rRNA". It matches the Rfam family "Bacterial small subunit ribosomal RNA", at positions 56 to 1325 of the family's 1533-position model. Lineage: Bacteria; Bacillati; Bacillota; Bacilli; Caryophanales; Staphylococcaceae. The record is from RNAcentral.
UGCAGUCGAGCGAACAGACGAGGAGCUUGCUCCUCUGACGUUAGCGGCGGACGGGUGAGUAACACGUGGAUAACCUACCUAUAAGACUGGGAUAACUUCGGGAAACCGGAGCUAAUACCGGAUAAUAUAUUGAACCGCAUGGUUCAAUAGUGAAAGACGGUUUUGCUGUCACUUAUAGAUGGAUCCGCGCCGCAUUAGCUAGUUGGUAAGGUAACGGCUUACCAAGGCAACGAUGCGUAGCCGACCUGAGAGGGUGAUCGGCCACACUGGAACUGAGACACGGUCCAGACUCCUACGGGAGGCAGCAGUAGGGAAUCUUCCGCAAUGGGCGAAAGCCUGACGGAGCAACGCCGCGUGAGUGAUGAAGGUCUUCGGAUCGUAAAACUCUGUUAUUAGGGAAGAACAAAUGUGUAAGUAACUAUGCACGUCUUGACGGUACCUAAUCAGAAAGCCACGGCUAACUACGUGCCAGCAGCCGCGGUAAUACGUAGGUGGCAAGCGUUAUCCGGAAUUAUUGGGCGUAAAGCGCGCGUAGGCGGUUUUUUAAGUCUGAUGUGAAAGCCCACGGCUCAACCGUGGAGGGUCAUUGGAAACUGGAAAACUUGAGUGCAGAAGAGGAAAGUGGAAUUCCAUGUGUAGCGGUGAAAUGCGCAGAGAUAUGGAGGAACACCNAGUGGCGAAGGCGACUUUCUGGUCUGUAACUGACGCUGAUGUGCGAAAGCGUGGGGAUCAAACAGGAUUAGAUACCCUGGUAGUCCACGCCGUAAACGAUGAGUGCUAAGUGUUAGGGGGUUUCCGCCCCUUAGUGCUGCAGCUAACGCAUUAAGCACUCCGCCUGGGGAGUACGACCGCAAGGUUGAAACUCAAAGGAAUUGACGGGGACCCGCACAAGCGGUGGAGCAUGUGGUUUAAUUCGAAGCAACGCGAAGAACCUUACCAAAUCUUGACAUCCUCUGACCCCUCUAGAGAUAGAGUUUUCCCCUUCGGGGGACAGAGUGACAGGUGGUGCAUGGUUGUCGUCAGCUCGUGUCGUGAGAUGUUGGGUUAAGUCCCGCAACGAGCGCAACCCUUAAGCUUAGUUGCCAUCAUUAAGUUGGGCACUCUAAGUUGACUGCCGGUGACAAACCGGAGGAAGGUGGGGAUGACGUCAAAUCAUCAUGCCCCUUAUGAUUUGGGCUACACACGUGCUACNAUGGACAAUACAAAGGGCAGCGAAACCGCGAGGUCAAGCAAAUCCCAUAAAGUUGUUCUCAGUUCGGAUUGUAGUCUGCAACNNCGACUAUAUGAAG